GAUAACAUUGUAAACUAAUGGUAACAUAUAUUGAUAAGAGUUGAUAAUAUCUAUGGUAAUAAUAUUAGUCUGGCUGAUAUGUAGAUCUGUUUGUGUGUGUGUGUGUGUGUGUGUGUGUGUGUUCGUGGGUUGCGCUGCGAGACAGAGUAUGAAAUAGCGAGCGGCGCAGGCUGCGGUAAGUGACGGGGAUGGAGUAGCGAGCGAUGCGUGCUAUGGUGAGUGGCGGUGGUGGAGUACCGAGCAGCUGCAGUUAGUGGCGGGGAUGACACCAGCACCAGCACCAACACUAGAACCAGGAUCGGCAUUUUUAUUCUACUAAAUGGGCUUUUUAGAAUUUCAACAUAGUGUUUAAAAUGUAAAACAAACAAAAGUAAAUUUAUUAAAACUCCCG
This is a non-coding RNA of Cinara cedri, 391 nucleotides long. NCBI's taxonomy places the organism in Eukaryota, Metazoa, Arthropoda, Insecta, Hemiptera, Aphididae. The record is from the annotation of a GenBank genome assembly.